This 317-nucleotide ribosomal RNA is filed under the name uncultured bacterium. RNAcentral describes it as "bacterial SSU rRNA". It matches the Rfam family "Bacterial small subunit ribosomal RNA", at positions 28 to 346 of the family's 1533-position model. The record is from RNAcentral.
GACGAACGCUGGCGGCGUGCUUAACACAUGCAAGUCGAGCGGUAAGGCCCUUUCGGGGGUACACGAGCGGCGAACGGGUGAGUAACACGUGGGUGACCUGCCCUCAGCUCUGGGAUAAGCCUGGGAAACCGGGUCUAAUACCGGAUAUGACUCCAUAACGCAUGUUGUGGGGUGGAAAGCCUUGUGCGGCUGAGGAUGGGCCCGCGGCCUAUCAGCCUUGUUGGUGGGGUGAUGGCCACCAAGGCGACGACGGGUAGCCGGCCUGAGAGGGCGACCGGCCACACUGGGACUGAGACACGGCCCAGACUCCUACGGGA